Molecule: ribosomal RNA, 375 nt
Filed under: uncultured bacterium
Lineage: Bacteria
Description: bacterial SSU rRNA
Rfam family: Bacterial small subunit ribosomal RNA
Source: RNAcentral
UAAAACGUAGGAGGCGAACGUUAUCCGGAUUUACUGGGUGUAAAGCGCGUGCAGGCGGUGGUGUAAGUCGUGUGUGAAAGCGCCCAGGCUCAACCGGGCGAGGACGGACGAAACUGCAUCACUAGAGGUAGGUAGAGGCGUGCGGAAUUCCGGGUGUAGUGGUGAAAUGCGUAGAUAUCCGGAGGAACACCAGUGGCGAAGGCGGCGCGCUGGACCUGACCUGACGCUAAGACGCGAAAGCAUGGGUAGCGAACGGGAUUAGAAACCCCGGUAGUCCAUGCCGUAAACGAUGCAUACUAGGUGUUGCGGUGUCAAGCUGCAGUGCCGAAGCAAACGUGAUAAGUAUGCCACCUGGGGACUACGGCCGCAAGGUUA